AGUGAACGCUGGCGGUAGGCCUAACACAUGCAAGUCGAACGGCAGCACAGUAAGAGCUUGCUCUUACGGGUGGCGAGUGGCGGACGGGUGAGGAAUACAUCGGAAUCUACUUUUUCGUGGGGGAUAACGUAGGGAAACUUACGCUAAUACCGCAUACGACCUACGGGUGAAAGCAGGGGAUCUUCGGACCUUGCGCGAUUGAAUGAGCCGAUGUCGGAUUAGCUAGUUGGCGGGGUGAAGGCCCACCAAGGCGACGAUCCGUAGCUGGUCUGAGAGGAUGAUCAGCCACACCGGAACUGAGACACGGUCCAGACUCCUACGGGAGGCAGCAGUGGGGAAUAUUGGACAAUGGGCGCAAGCCUGAUCCAGCCAUACCGCGUGGGUGAAGAAGGCCUUCGGGUUGUAAAGCCCUUUUGUUGGGAAAGAAAAGCAGCAGGUUAAUACCCCGCUGUUCUGACGGUACCCAAAGAAUAAGCACCGGCUAACUUCGUG
Molecule: ribosomal RNA, 492 nt
Filed under: uncultured bacterium
Lineage: Bacteria
Description: partial 16S ribosomal RNA
Rfam family: Bacterial small subunit ribosomal RNA
Source: RNAcentral